AGCUGUGUGUGUGUGUAGGUGUGUGUGUGUAGCUGUGUGUGUGUAGGUGUGUGUGUCUCUGUGUGUGAGGAGGACGAGGGUGAUCUCUUGCUGUUCCUCACCGGCCAAGAGGUACGUGUGUAGCUGUGUGUGUGUAGGUGUGUGUGUCUCUGUGUGUGUCUCUGUGUGUGUGUAGCUGUGUGUGUAGGUGUGUGUGUAGAUGUGUAGGUGUGUGUGUAGGUGUGUGUCUCUGUGUGUGAGGAGGACGAGGGUGAUCUCUUGCUGUUCCUCACCGGCCAAGAGGUACGUGUGUAGCUGUGUGUGUGUAGGUGUGUGUGUCUCUGUGUGUGUGUGUAGCUGUGUGUGUAGGUGUGUGUGUAGAUGUGUAGGUGUGUGUGUAGGUGUGUGUCUCUGUGUGUGAGGAGGACGAGGGUGAUCUCUUGCUCUUCCUCACCGGCCAAGAGGUACGUGUGUAGCUGUGUGUGUAGGUGUAGGUGUGUGUGUGUAGCUGUGUGUAGGUGUAGGUGUGUGUGUGUGUGAGGAGGACGAGGGUGAUCUCUUGCUCUUCCUCACCGGCCAAGAGGUACGUGUGUAGGUGUGUGUGUAGGUGUGUGUGUAGGUGUGUGUGUGUAGGUGUGUGUGUAGGUGUGUGUCUCUGUGUGUGAGGAGGACGAGGGUGAUCUCUUGCUCUUCCUCACCGGCCAAGAGGUACGUGUGUAGGUGUGUGUGUCUCUGUGUGUGUCUCUGUGUGUGUGUGUAGGUGUGUGUGUCUCUGUGUGUGAGGAGGACGAGGGUGAUCUCUUGCUCUUCCUCACCGGCCAAGAGGAGAUUGAGGAGGCCUGCAAGCGAAUCAAGCGUGAGAUUGAGAACCUGGGCCCCGAGGUUGGGGAUGUGAAGAUCAUUCCGCUGUCUCUCUCUCUGUGUGUCUCU
Petromyzon marinus (sea lamprey) is the source of this 909-nucleotide non-coding RNA. NCBI's taxonomy places the organism in Eukaryota, Metazoa, Chordata, Hyperoartia, Petromyzontiformes, Petromyzontidae. The record is from RefSeq and is a predicted model, not a curated record.